GGACUCCUUCCCAGAGCUAACUACAGACCUGAAAGAUUUCUUCUUCUGCGCUCUCAAGGAACAACAGUCCUUAAAGUCCAGCUCACGCUGCUGUGCUGCAGCCUCGCGCUUGGUCCCCUCCACUGCACUGGGUCUCCCCACUGCACUGAGCCCCCUCUUCACUGCACCCGGCCCCUCCACGGCAUCCAGUACCCCGGCCCUCUAUGGCACCCAGUUCUCUCUCCUCGGCAUCCAGUUCCCCGCCCCCACCUCCGCCCCAACAGCACCCAGUCCCUCGCACCCAGCACCGCCCCCGCCCCACCAACUGUACCCAGUCCCCCCGCUCCACCACGGCACCCAGUCCCCUCAGGGCACCCGGUCCCUCCCCGCCCUCCGCUACGGCACCCAGUCCCCCGACGGCUCUCGGUCUCCCCCACGCCGAGCCUCGGAGAGCAGGGGCUUUGCUUUUCCGGCUGAGGUGCUCAAUAAACAUCUCUUAAACAAAGGAGUGCGCAAGUGAGAUAACAUAAGACAGAAUCUCACUCUGUCGCCCAGCCUGGAGUACAGUGGUGCAAUCUGGGCUCACUACAACCUCUGCCUCCCGGGUUCAAGUGAUUCUUCUGCCUCAGCCUCCUGAGUAGCUGGGACUACAGGGUCGAGAACCACCAAGGGGUGGAAAGAGGAUGAAACAUGGAAGAGGAAGAGCUGGUUGUGAGUCCUGGUGCCAUCACUUGCCCAAGGUGACCUCCCUUCGUCACAGGCUGAG
Molecule: long non-coding RNA, 745 nt
Organism: Pongo pygmaeus (Bornean orangutan)
Lineage: Eukaryota; Metazoa; Chordata; Mammalia; Primates; Hominidae
Exons: 3
Source: RefSeq, a predicted model, not a curated record